AGAGGUCUCAAGCGUUGUUCGGAAUCACUGGGCGUAAAGGGUGCGUAGGCGGCGGGGAAAGUCAGAUGUGAAAUCCGGAGGCUCAACCUCCGAAUUGCAUCCGAUACUCCCUCGCUAGAGAGUUGUAGGGGAGCUUGGAAUUCUCGGUGUAGCAGUGAAAUGCGUAGAUAUCGAGAAGAACGCUCGCAGCGAAGGCGAAGCUCUGGGCAACAUCUGACGCUGAUGCACGAAGGCUAGGGGAGCAAACGGGAUUAGAUACCCCGGUAGUCCUAGCUGUAAACGGUGCGCCGCUGGGUAUGGCGGGGUUCGACCCCUGCCGUGCCGGAGCUAACGCGUUAAGCGCGCCGCCUGGGAAGUACGGUCGCAAGAUUA
This 372-nucleotide ribosomal RNA is filed under the name uncultured bacterium. Its description in RNAcentral is "bacterial SSU rRNA". It matches the Rfam family "Bacterial small subunit ribosomal RNA", at positions 527 to 896 of the family's 1533-position model. The record is from RNAcentral.